AACGCGAAGAACCUUACCUGGGCUCGAAAUGUAGUGGAAUCCGGCAGAAACGUCGGCGUCUAGCAAUAGACCGCUAUAUAGGUGCUGCAUGGCUGUCGUCAGCUCGUGUCGUGAGAUGUUGGGUUAAGUCCCGCAACGAGCGCAACCCUCAUCUUCAGUUGCCACCAGGUAAGGCUGGGCACUCUGGAGAAACCGCCGGUGACAAGCCGGAGGAAGGCGGGGAUGACGUCAAGUCCUCAUGGCCCUUACAGGUUGGGCUACACACGUACUACAAUGGUGGUGACAGUGGGUUGCGAAGUCGCGAGACGGAGCCAAUCCCCAAAAGCCAUCUCAGUUCAGAUUGCACUCUGCAACUCGGGUGCAUGAAGUUGGAAUCGCUAGUAAUCGCAGAUCAGCACGCUGCGGUGAAUACGUUCCCGGGCCUUGUACACACCGAGACGAC
This 442-nucleotide ribosomal RNA is filed under the name uncultured bacterium. Its description in RNAcentral is "bacterial SSU rRNA". It matches the Rfam family "Bacterial small subunit ribosomal RNA", at positions 958 to 1398 of the family's 1533-position model. The record is from RNAcentral.